UACAGAGGGUUCGAGCGUUAAUCGGAAUUACUGGGCGUAAAGCGUGCGUAGACGGUUAUGUAAGUCAGGUGUGAAAGCCCCGGGCUCAAGCUGGGAAUUGCAUUUGAGACUGCAUAGCUAGGGUGCGGAAGAGGGAAGCGGAAUUUCCGGUGUAGCGGUGGAAUGCGUAGAUAUCGGAAGGAACAUCAGUGGCGAAAGCGGCUUCCUGGUCCAGCACCGACGUUCAGGCACGAAAGCGUGGGGAGCAAACAGG
RNAcentral lists this ribosomal RNA (253 nucleotides) under uncultured bacterium. Its description in RNAcentral is "partial 16S ribosomal RNA". It matches the Rfam family "Bacterial small subunit ribosomal RNA", at positions 524 to 776 of the family's 1533-position model. The record is from RNAcentral.